This 75-nucleotide transfer RNA is filed under the name Hyphomicrobiales bacterium. RNAcentral's name for it is "tRNA-Val". It matches the Rfam family "tRNA". From Rfam's summary of the family: Transfer RNA (tRNA) molecules are approximately 80 nucleotides in length. Their secondary structure includes four short double-helical elements and three loops (D, anti-codon, and T loops). Further hydrogen bonds mediate the characteristic L-shaped molecular structure. tRNAs have two regions of fundamental functional importance: the anti-codon, which is responsible for specific mRNA codon recognition, and the 3' end, to which the tRNAs corresponding amino acid is attached (by aminoacyl-tRNA synthetases). tRNAs cope with the degeneracy of the genetic code in two manners: having more than one tRNA (with a specific anti-codon) for a particular amino acid; and 'wobble' base-pairing, i.e. permitting non-standard base-pairing at the 3rd anti-codon position. Lineage: Bacteria; Pseudomonadati; Pseudomonadota; Alphaproteobacteria; Hyphomicrobiales. The record is from RNAcentral. RNAcentral also lists the same sequence under 7 other names.
GGGCGCGUAGCUCAGCGGAAGAGCACCUCCUUGACAUGGAGGGGGUCACAGGUUCGAUCCCUGUCGCGCCCACCA